CAUUGGAAGCUGGCGGCAAUCAUGCCAGGAGAAAAAAGGUCCUUACUAGUUGAUCCUCUUGGUGAGUCUCAAAUGGACAUUAAAAAAUGCCUGGAAUCAACCCGGGCGUUCAUGCGCAAGAAAGGGUGCAAUGUUUCCAGGUGGACUUGUGGCACUGUGCCCCAUCCCAGGCAGAAAGAUUCAACCUCUUGUAGUGUCUUUGCUUUGAAAUUUGCAGAACAUCUUCUUUCAAAUGAAGAAAUAGAUUUCUCAGCAAAGACACAUGAUAUAAAUAGGUACAGGCUGCAAAUUGCCACAACGCUUCUAUUAGAGACUGGUAAGUAAUAUGCACCCAAGAGAUGUUAUUGCCACCCAAAGAAUGGUCCUGACUGUGCUAUCAAUGCUUUAUACAACUCAGUUAAGUUUUACACAGGGAAGUACUAUAGCAAUCCUUCUGUCUUUGUUUUCACAGAUGAUUUAUCUAACUUGUGCUUUUUUUGUGGGGAAGCGACACAUGACAGACAACAGAUGGGUAAUUAUGUCAGGUCUUGUUAACUAAUGCAUGUGAUGAAUAUAUAUUGAAUUACACAUUCAUUGUAAAUUAUUGUCUGUUCUGUUUUCAACAGUGCGCAUUUUUAUGUUUUUAACUUCCUAACGUGUAAUAUUUUGAAAUGUAUGU
Molecule: long non-coding RNA, 658 nt
Organism: Syngnathus acus (greater pipefish)
Lineage: Eukaryota; Metazoa; Chordata; Actinopteri; Syngnathiformes; Syngnathidae
Exons: 4
Source: RefSeq, a predicted model, not a curated record